RNAcentral lists this ribosomal RNA (562 nucleotides) under uncultured bacterium. Its description in RNAcentral is "bacterial SSU rRNA". It matches the Rfam family "Bacterial small subunit ribosomal RNA", at positions 337 to 917 of the family's 1533-position model. The record is from RNAcentral.
UCCUACGGGAGGCAGCAGUGGGGAAUCUUAGACAAUGGGGGCAACCCUGAUCUAGCCAUGCCGCGUGAGUGAUGAAGGCCUUAGGGUCGUAAAGCUCUUUCGCCUGUGAUGAUAAUGACAGUAGCAGGUAAAGAAACCCCGGCUAACUCCGUGCCAGCAGCCGCGGUAAUACGGAGGGGGUUAGCGUUGUUCGGAAUUACUGGGCGUAAAGCGCGCGUAGGCGGAUUAGAAAGUUGGGGGUGAAAUCCCGGGGCUCAACCCCGGAACUGCCUCCAAAACUACUAGUCUAGAGUUCGAGAGAGGUGAGUGGAAUUCCGAGUGUAGAGGUGAAAUUCGUAGAUAUUCGGAGGAACACCAGUGGCGAAGGCGGCUCACUGGCUCGAUACUGACGCUGAGGUGCGAAAGUGUGGGGAGCAAACAGGAUUAGAUACCCUGGUAGUCCACACCGUAAACGAUGAAUGCCAGUCGUCGGGGCGCUUGCGCUUCGGUGACACACCUAACGGAUUAAGCAUUCCGCCUGGGGAGUACGGUCGCAAGAUUAAAACUCAAAGGAAUUGACGGA